This 602-nucleotide ribosomal RNA is filed under the name uncultured bacterium. RNAcentral describes it as "bacterial SSU rRNA". It matches the Rfam family "Bacterial small subunit ribosomal RNA", at positions 8 to 599 of the family's 1533-position model. The record is from RNAcentral.
AGAGUUUGAUCAUGGCUCAGAGUGAACGCUGGCGGCAGGCCUAACACAUGCAAGUCGAACGGCAGCAUGAGAGAGCUUGCUCUCUUGAUGGCGAGUGGCGGACGGGUGAGGAACACAUCGGAAUCUGCCCAGUCGUGGGGGAUAACGUAGGGAAACUUACGCUAAUACCGCAUACGACCUACGGGUGAAAGCAGGGGAUCUUCGGACCUUGCGCGAUUGGAUGAGCCGAUGUCGGAUUAGCUAGUUGGCGGGGUAAAGGCCCACCAAGGCGACGAUCCGUAGCUGGUCUGAGAGGAUGAUCAGCCACACUGGAACUGAGACACGGUCCAGACUCCUACGGGAGGCAGCAGUGGGGAAUAUUGGACAAUGGGCGCAAGCCUGAUCCAGCCAUGCCGCGUGGGUGAAGAAGGCCUUCGGGUUGUAAAGCCCUUUUGUUGGGAAAGAAAAGCGAUCGGUUAAUACCCGGUUGUUCUGACGGUACCCAAAGAAUAAGCACCGGCUAACUUCGUGCCAGCAGCCGCGGUAAUACGAAGGGUGCAAGCGUUACUCGGAAUUACUGGGCGUAAAGCGUGCGUAGGUGGUGGUUUAAGUCUGCUGUGAAA